Molecule: long non-coding RNA, 939 nt
Organism: Lutra lutra (Eurasian river otter)
Lineage: Eukaryota; Metazoa; Chordata; Mammalia; Carnivora; Mustelidae
Exons: 3
Source: RefSeq, a predicted model, not a curated record
AAAGCUUCUUGAGGCCUAGGCUUGCAACCAGCACCCCAUCACCUCCACAUUCUAAUGGCCAAAGCAAGGCAUAGGACCAACCCCUGAUUCCAGGAAAUGAAGAAUGUACGGGUCAGGUGUGUUUUCAGAUUUAUAAAAGCAUACAUGUGCCGGAGGAGGGGAGACCAUCUGGCAUUGUUUGCUUGAGCAAGAGACUGGAAGCAUCCUGAGCGAAUACCAGUGGGUCCUUCUUAAGCAGCUGUCAAGGCCUCCACAUGAUCGAAUUCUGUUCACAGCAGCCUUCCCAGAACCCGGACUCCUGUCAUCGCCUGCGAGGGAAGAACAGACCGGCAGGCUCAAGCUUUCUGCACCUCCCCCUUUGUCAGCACCUCCUGCUGACACUCGGAACCGGGUCCAGAUCCAGCUGCUUCCCCCCAACUUGCGCCCCCCACCCCACCACCGGGGAUCCAGCCACCGCGCUGCCUCCCCCCACUACCACCGCGCUGCCUCCCCACACUACUGCGGUAGCAUCCCCGCUCGCCCUGCCCUCGUUCUGCUGCACCGCUAGAGCCACUGCCAUUGUGAUUUGUGAGUUACUUUUUGUGCCCUAAAGGGCGGAAAAAGAAUACGGAUUGUUAUGAGCUUGUAUUUGCGUCAGGAAGCCUGCCUAUCGUGGUAACUGUGCCAUAGAGUUUAGACGUGAAGCCCAAAGCCAGUAGAGUUUUGGGGGCCCCUUAGGAAUAGAAAAUGGGGUACAAACGGUGAGAUUUAGAAUGAGCAGAGGAGUCAUAGAUAGAUAGAAAUAUAUCUAGAUAGAUAGAAAAUAUCAGAAAGCUUACAACUGCCACAAACAUCACAAACUCCGGAAGAGUAACACAGUAUUUUUACUAAUCAACUUCCUGCCAUACCUUCAUAAUCCUUUUCCCCCAACAUUUCAUUGGUCACCCUUAUAUGAUGACA